UACGUAGGGGGCAAGCGUUGUCCGGAAUCAUUGGGCGUAAAGAGCGCGUAGGCGGUCCGGUAAGUCCGCUGUGAAAGUCAAGGGCUCAACCCUUGAAUGCCGGUGGAUACUGUCGGGCUAGAGUCCGGAAGAGGCGAGUGGAAUUCCUGGUGUAGCGGUGGAAUGCGCAGAUAUCAGGAGGAACACCAAUGGCGAAGGCAGCUCGCUGGGACGGUACUGACGCUGAGGCGCGAAAGCGUGGGGAGCGAACAGG
This 253-nucleotide ribosomal RNA is filed under the name uncultured bacterium. Its description in RNAcentral is "partial 16S ribosomal RNA". It matches the Rfam family "Bacterial small subunit ribosomal RNA", at positions 524 to 776 of the family's 1533-position model. The record is from RNAcentral.